This 362-nucleotide long non-coding RNA is filed under the name Setaria italica (foxtail millet). RNAcentral describes it as "long non-coding RNA (SITA_LNC007278)". The record is from RNAcentral. Lineage: Eukaryota; Viridiplantae; Streptophyta; Magnoliopsida; Poales; Poaceae.
CCUUGGCGCACGAGCUGGUGAACGACGAUGGCGAGGAGAAGGUGACCUUCGUGAUCCAGAUGAUGGUGAUUUUCUGCGAAGAGGAGAUCUCCUGCGUGAAGGUGGGGACGGAUACCUUGACAGUGAAGGUGACCCUCUCCUUGAAUAAGGUGAUCUCCUUCUAGAAAUUGAAGGGGUACUUCUUGGAGAAUGCCUUCGGGGAGAAGCAGAGCGUCUAGGUGAAGUUGAACGCCGUGAUGAUCUACGAUGUCUAUCAAUGGAGCGGGAACGCCUGGAAGGAGAUCGAGAACGCUUUCUGGGAGAAAUAGAUCUUUGCCUACCAUGGGGUGACAAAGAUAUGCUCCUGGAUCUGCGACUUCCCC